GCGACCCCAGGUCANGCGGGAUUACCCGCUGAGUUUAA
This 38-nucleotide ribosomal RNA is filed under the name Mirabilis alipes. RNAcentral's name for it is "partial 26S ribosomal RNA". RNAcentral also lists the same sequence under 1 other name. Lineage: Eukaryota; Viridiplantae; Streptophyta; Magnoliopsida; Caryophyllales; Nyctaginaceae. The record is from RNAcentral.